UGAGGAAUAUUGGGCAAUGGGUGAGAGCCUGACCCAGCCAUGCCGCGUGCAGGAUUAAGGCCCUAUGGGUCGUAAACUGCUUUUGAACGGGAAUAAUGUGGUGUACGUGUACACUAAUGCAGGUACCGUUCGAAUAAGCAUCGGCUAACUCCGUGCCAGCAGCCGCGGUAAUACGGAGGAUGCGAGCGUUAUUCGGAUUUAUUAGGUUUAAAGGGUACGUAGGCUGCCUUAUAAGUCAGGGGUGAAAUAC
Molecule: ribosomal RNA, 250 nt
Filed under: uncultured bacterium
Lineage: Bacteria
Description: partial 16S ribosomal RNA
Rfam family: Bacterial small subunit ribosomal RNA
Source: RNAcentral